GAGCUUCCUCGAUGACUAAGGCACGGGAAAUGUUCCACUCUUAAAUCUCUGUGUGGGUCACGAUCCAUCUCCAUAAUCAAUCCCAAUAAAGAUAAAACCACAAUUGCUAAACAAAUCCCAUCCCAAUUCACCAAAACCCAUCCCCGCAAUCCCCAGCAAAUUAACGAAUAGGGAGCAGUUGAGGAAUGAGUUGAUCGAGCAUCCAAUUAGUAAGUGUCGUAGGAGUUUAAUUUGCAUCUAGUGUCUCGGGUUUAGCUAUAUGAUGUGAGCUGACGAAAUUGCAGAAAAAGCUAAUCACAAUCUGAGCUGUGUUGUGCGUUGUUGGUGGAGAACUUUCGAGUUAUUGCAGCAAUUGCUUAUAUAUGAGGAUACGGGAUUUAUUUGCAUCAUAGUAAUCUAACUAGUAGACUAAUUAUGUUAUGAUUGGAUUUGGAUAGCCUUGGUUACUCGUAAAUAUUUAUAUAUUUUGAAACACUAGUGAUGUGUAUUUGUAUAUGAGUUUUGGUACCCUUGUAUCUGGCUCAAUAUAUUUUCUUUGCUGAUCGAAAAAAAGUGUCGCAGGAGAAACACCAAACGGUGGAGACACUAGAGCAACAUGACAUGGGGGAUAUGUUCGUGCACCUCAGCGGAGCAUUGGAACCGAAGAAGAAGCCAGAGAUGGAAUGCGCUGCAUCCCUCUACGAGAACCAGGAGCGUCUUGAUCUCCUCCACCAUUGCUACUAUGGGCCACCACUUGCGACGGAGCGCAAAGCUGUUCACUUGCC
Molecule: long non-coding RNA, 764 nt
Filed under: Glycine max (soybean)
Lineage: Eukaryota; Viridiplantae; Streptophyta; Magnoliopsida; Fabales; Fabaceae
Description: long non-coding RNA (GMAX_LNC003104)
Source: RNAcentral